AGCCUCGUGGUGUAUAGCAUGCAAAAUUGCAAAUUUUUAGGAGUAGGGUAAUAGCCUACCGGGGCUU
This 67-nucleotide transfer RNA is filed under the name Epicrionops cf. marmoratus UMMZ 190478. RNAcentral's name for it is "tRNA-Cys". Lineage: Eukaryota; Metazoa; Chordata; Amphibia; Gymnophiona; Rhinatrematidae. The record is from RNAcentral.